AUCUACAGCCAUGCUACCCUGAACACACCUGAUCCUGUCUGAUCUCGGAAGCUAAGCAGGGUUGGGCCUGGUUAGUACUUGGAUGGGAGACCACCUAGGAAGACCAGGUACUGUAGGCG
Molecule: ribosomal RNA, 119 nt
Filed under: Pteropus alecto (black flying fox)
Lineage: Eukaryota; Metazoa; Chordata; Mammalia; Chiroptera; Pteropodidae
Source: RNAcentral